Molecule: ribosomal RNA, 264 nt
Filed under: Triticum aestivum (bread wheat)
Lineage: Eukaryota; Viridiplantae; Streptophyta; Magnoliopsida; Poales; Poaceae
Description: partial small subunit ribosomal RNA
Source: RNAcentral
AUGUUCUCGUCCCAGUCACUCAGCCGCAUCAACAACAUCAGGACUGCGCUCAUCAACGCGCAGAAGGGCAACCAGUCGGUAGCCUCCUACUUCGCCUCCCUCCGUGGCCUCGCUGAUGAACUCGCGGCCGCGGGCAAGCCUAUCCAGGACGACGAACUGAUCUCGUACGUUCUCCACGGCCUCGACAUCGACUACCAGCCGCUCGUCUCCGCCCUCGACGCUCGCGUCACGCCCGCACCAUCGAUGAGCUCUAUGCCAUGCUGA